This 371-nucleotide transfer-messenger RNA is filed under the name Caproiciproducens sp. NJN-50. It matches the Rfam family "transfer-messenger RNA". From Rfam's summary of the family: Bacterial tmRNA, also known as 10Sa RNA or SsrA, is named for its dual tRNA and mRNA-like properties. Its role is to liberate the mRNA from a stalled ribosome. RNAcentral also lists the same sequence under 1 other name. The record is from Rfam by way of RNAcentral. Lineage: Bacteria; Bacillati; Bacillota; Clostridia; Eubacteriales; Acutalibacteraceae.
GGGGAUGUAAAGGCUUCGACGGGGACUGUCAACCAUGGUAAGCGAGUAGCGCCGCAGAACGCUUUAUUUCUUCAAAGAAAAAUAAAUGACAAAACUGAAAACGCUAACUAUAACUACAAUUAUGGGAUGGCGUACGCAGCCUAAUUAGACUGCCGUCUUUACCGGGAGUACCGCGGCCCGGAUAAAGGCGUCGAUUAGCGGUGAACGUGAACCGGGGAACGCCUUUACCCCGGUCACGGACGAAAGGCUACCAAGGCGCGAAGCCUGCCGAUUGGCGGCGUGCUGAGGGAAUUUUAAAUGAUCGGCUACACUCGUAGAAAGCCAUGGCAAGCAAUCUUCGGACACGAGUUCGACUCUCGUCAUCUCCACCA